CUCAGGCCACUGCUGAGUAUUAGGAAAAGAGCCAUAAAUUGAUUCCCUGCCAGGAUCCCCAUGAAUAGAAAAACCACAUAGUCUGAAAUGGUAGUCAACAGCCAUGACCUUUCUUGGGAACACUUGACAAGGUUGUUGGUGAACAAGCAUAUCCAGUGUGCAGCCAGACAGGCUGGUAAGGUGCUAAGGAGAACAGCAGCAGCAGCAGCUAAUGGGAUGGCCUCCUUUUUCAGAGGAAGCAGUACCUCUCUGGCAUCUCUGCCUGGUGCCAUGCUGCCUGAAGUAAGAAGAAUCAGCUUCUGGAAAAGAGCUUGCAGUCUCAGCACAAAGGACAUAAUAAAGAAUUCUGUAAGAGCCAUGAGGACUCAUCUUUAAUGAGGAUUUUGUGGAGAAGUCCAGAAGCCUCUUAUGAUUUUGCAGUGUGGGGACAAUAGCUGGACUGUCUUUCUUUACUUGUUGAUUCACCAAAGCAAUUAAUGACUUUGUAGCUGAGUCUCCUACAAACCCAGUGAGGCAAAAACACCCAACUCUAGCCUUGAGCUCUGAAGAAAAAAAUGCACUUGAGUAUAAGUAUCAUAGAUGUGCAAUGCUGGAAAGGCCUUGGUGCUCAUGAGCUAUGUCUCUUUACCAAGAAGAGGUUGGUAUAUAAAAUUAGUGUCCAAGUUUCCCUAUUACAACACUUUUGCAAAAGCUGGAGACUUGAUUUUCCAGCUGCAGAAUUCAAACACGGACCACCUUGUUGCUUAUAAUGCAUCAAUAGUACCAGUUUUAUGAAUGGGCAGGACUCUGUGGAAUUGGGAAGAGUCUCCUGGGACCCCAAACUUUCCCCAUUACUUUGAUGAAUGCUUGAAGUACCAUCCACUCUAUUUCACUGCCUUGGCUUAAGGCUCUGACCUACUAAAAUGUGAAUACUAUAUCUCUGGAUGAGAUGGUCACUUACAUAUCAGUUCAAAUAAUUUUAUCAGUUCUUGCUAAUGAGGAGGAAAUGGAGAGAAAUGGGCUGAAGCUCAAGGCUGCAGAAAUGGGGUUGCACAGAAUGGAGAGAGGAGCCAGUGGGGUGAGGGGAGUGUCUAGGGACAAACUUCUGUGAUUUCACACAUUUACCAAGGUUCAGUAGAAACAAUAAUUACAUAGAAAGAACUCAGGUGAUCUGUCUAAACUACACAAUACUGCUUGUAAAGCUGUACCCAGG
RNAcentral lists this long non-coding RNA (1192 nucleotides) under Homo sapiens (human). RNAcentral's name for it is "HSALNT0012733". The record is from RNAcentral. Lineage: Eukaryota; Metazoa; Chordata; Mammalia; Primates; Hominidae.